Molecule: long non-coding RNA, 1550 nt
Organism: Oreochromis niloticus (Nile tilapia)
Lineage: Eukaryota; Metazoa; Chordata; Actinopteri; Cichliformes; Cichlidae
Exons: 2
Source: RefSeq, a predicted model, not a curated record
CAUGAAGUCUGAAGUAAGUAGUUGGAAGUAAGUCUCUCGCCCAUAUCAAGGGGCCCUACAUGACUUCUAGCCUGAACCGUUAAUACAAGAUAGGAUGGAUAUAUGUUGUCAUAAUUUAUGUCAAAUACUGACUAUAUCAUUCAAAUGCCACAGCAGAAAUGAUGCAACAUUUUAUAAUGUACAAAUGCAUAAUUUUGGUGAGCCUGUGGAGAUCACAGCCUCAGUUUUCUGUUCUUAUCUGGGAGUAGCAGCACCUGGUGUGGUCUUCUGCUGCUGUAGCCCAACUGCUUCAAGGAUCACUGUGUUAUGUGUUUAGAGAUGCUCUUCCUCAUGAUGACCAUUCUCUGUAAACACUAGAGAUGGUUGUACAGGAAAAUCCCAGAAGAUCAGCAGAUUCUGCCUGUAAGGCACCAAGAACCAGGCCAUUUUCAAAGUCACGUCAAUCAGCUUUUAUCUCCAUGUUGAUGCUCUGUUUGAACUUGAGCACAUCGACUUGACCAUCUCUACAAGCCUAAAUGUGUUGAAGUGCUGCAGUGGGAUUGGCUGAUUAGAUGUUUGCUUUAACAAGCAGCAGACAUGGCCAACGAGUGUAGAUGCUGAUCGUAUUAAACUUAACUGAAAGGAAGUGAGGCACCACCUUGUAGUGCUUUUCAGCUACUGUGCUUUACAAGUUAAUUAUCUUCUGAGCUGAAUUCUCAAAGACGCAGACCACUACAGUAUCAAAAUAAAUCAAUAAAAACCAGCAUGCACCUCUGUGUGACACUAAACCUUUAAUGAGUAAUAAAAGGAACCCGACCUUGCUCUCUGCCCUGCUCACAUCUGAUGGAGUGCUUAACGCAGCAGAAGGCCAAGAGGUAGCAAGGACAUCUCAGCAGCACUAGGAGAGGUCGGGUCAAGUACAUCUCUUAGGAGAUGUAAGGCAGUUUGGUGUGACUUAAGGGUGUGACUUUUCAUCCAGUGCCACCAUGAGGCUGACAAUGAUUUUGAGUGAAAUAUGUUGGAAGUUAUUUUGUGGAUUUUCAAAACAUGACUUAAAGACAUUCAGCCUCCCUGGAAGAUACAUUGUUGUUUUUGUUCAUUUGUGUCCAGUUUGUGUAAUGCUUCAAGGCCAAAGGUCAUACACCAGCGUGACGUUAUUAAACAUCUGAGGUCUCUUAUCCUUUAUUUUUUGAGCCUAGAGGCGACAGUAGCACCAGGGCUCACUGAUUCACUGCCAAAAAGAAAAAACACACAAUUCUUUCUUAACAUUUUAUUCAUUGUCCAAAUUCAUAUUCUUCCUUUUUUAAACAUUCUCUUAAACAAAAAUAGAACAACUAUUUACACUUGUAAAAAAUACAUAAAAAGCGUACAAGCCAAAUCAAGUUGUCUUUCUAAAAGACAUAAGUUCCAACAGCUAUUAAGUGUGAGACAAAAGCAAACUUUAAGCCACAGACCGAGUUAAUACCUCUUUGUACAGAUUGUGCAGCUCACUCACCACAUUUAAGCUUAUUGUUGUGCAUUUCUGCUGUAAUGCCAAAAGACGUCGACAUAAAACACAUUCACAUCUCUUA